GAUGAACGCUGGCGGCGUGCUUAACACAUGCAAGUCGAACGGAAAGGCUCCUGCUUGCAGGGGUACUCGAGUGGCGAACGGGUGAGUAAGACGUGGGUGAUCUGCCCUGCACUUCGGGAUAUGGCUUGGAAACUGGGGCUAAUACCGGAAAGGACGGUGGGUUGGGUGCCGUUGUGGAAAGGUUUGCGGUGGGGGCUGUGCUCGCGGCCGAUCAGCUUGUUGGUGGGGUACUGGCUUGCCGAGGCGUCGACGGGCAGCCGGCCGGCGAGGGUGCACCGCCGCAUUGGGCCUGAGAUACGGCCCAGGCUCCUACGGGGGGCAGCAGUGGGGAAUAUUGCGCAAGGGGCGGCAGCCUGGUGCAGCGGCGCCGCGUGUGCGAGGACGGCCCUCGGGUUGUAAGCGCCUAUCGCUAGGGGCGGAGCGCGUGUGACGGGAAGUGGUGGAGGAGCCCCGGCUAACUUCGGU
This 465-nucleotide ribosomal RNA is filed under the name uncultured bacterium. RNAcentral describes it as "partial 16S ribosomal RNA". It matches the Rfam family "Bacterial small subunit ribosomal RNA", at positions 28 to 507 of the family's 1533-position model. The record is from RNAcentral.